RNAcentral lists this ribosomal RNA (300 nucleotides) under uncultured cyanobacterium. RNAcentral's name for it is "bacterial SSU rRNA". It matches the Rfam family "Bacterial small subunit ribosomal RNA", at positions 115 to 433 of the family's 1533-position model. The record is from RNAcentral. Lineage: Bacteria; Bacillati; Cyanobacteriota.
ACGUAAGAAUCUACCUUUAGGAAAAUAUAACAAUUAGAAAUGAUUGCUAAUACUUUAUAUGCUGAGAAGUUAAAUGGGAUACCGCCUAAAGAUGAGCUUGCGUCUGAUUAGCUAGUUGGUGAGGUAAAUGCUUACCAAGGCAAUUAUCAGUAGUUGGUCUGAGAGGAUGAUCAGCCACACUGGGACUGAGACACGGCCCAGACUCCUACGGGAGGCAGCAGUGAGGAAUUUUUCGCAAUGGGCGCAAGCCUGACGAAGCAAUGCCGCGUGAAGGAUGACGGCCUGCGGGUUGUAAACUUC